CUUCUCUGCCCACUUGAAGUCAAAGUUUCCCCUCCAAAGUUGCAAUAUGAUCUAUGCUGUCGGUCCCUCUGUCUGAUUGUCUCAUCGGUUGUUCUUUCCAGCUGAUUCAGAAGGAAGAGCCACAUCUCUGCUCUGCCUUAGCAUAUCUACAGGAUCUGUCUGCAGGAUGUACAGCUGGAAAAUCCAACAAUCACAGAAGAGUGGCCUGAAAGAAGCCAUCAUUGGAAUGUUCUAAGUGAGAAAUGAGUAGAAGAUGGCAGAAAUCAGUAGAAGAUUAAGGUUCAAGCCUUUUCUAUGUUUAGUUUCAAGGUAAACAUGUGGGCUUUAAAACACAUUACUCACUGUAAAUAAUGAUUUAUGGCUGUGUA
This 368-nucleotide long non-coding RNA is filed under the name Mus spicilegus (steppe mouse). Its description in RNAcentral is "lncRNA (ENSMSIG00000023440.1)". The record is from RNAcentral. Lineage: Eukaryota; Metazoa; Chordata; Mammalia; Rodentia; Muridae.